This 1346-nucleotide ribosomal RNA is filed under the name uncultured bacterium. RNAcentral describes it as "partial 16S ribosomal RNA". It matches the Rfam family "Bacterial small subunit ribosomal RNA", at positions 28 to 1381 of the family's 1533-position model. The record is from RNAcentral.
GACGAACGCUGGCGGCGUGCUUAACACAUGCAAGUCGAACGGAAAGGCCCUGCUUUUGUGGGGUGCUCGAGUGGCGAACGGGUGAGUAACACGUGAGUAACCUGCCCUUGACUUUGGGAUAAUUUCAGGAAACUGGGGCUAAUACCGGAUAGGAGCUCCUGCUGCAUGGUGGGGGUUGGAAAGUUUCGGCGGUUGGGGAUGGACUCGCGGCUUAUCAGCUUGUUGGUGGGGUAGUGGCUUACCAAGGCUUUGACGGGUAGCCGGCCUGAGAGGGUGACCGGCCACAUUGGGACUGAGAUACGGCCCAGACUCCUACGGGAGGCAGCAGUGGGGAAUAUUGCACAAUGGGCGGAAGCCUGAUGCAGCAACGCCGCGUGCGGGAUGACGGCCUUCGGGUUGUAAACCGCUUUCGCCUGUGACGAAGCGUGAGUGACGGUAAUGGGUAAAGAAGCACCGGCUAACUACGUGCCAGCAGCCGCGGUGAUACGUAGGGUGCGAGCGUUGUCCGGAUUUAUUGGGCGUAAAGGGCUCGUAGGUGGUUGAUCGCGUCGGAAGUGUAAUCUUGGGGCUUAACCCUGAGCGUGCUUUCGAUACGGGUUGACUUGAGGAAGGUAGGGGAGAAUGGAAUUCCUGGUGGAGCGGUGGAAUGCGCAGAUAUCAGGAGGAACACCAGUGGCGAAGGCGGUUCUCUGGGCCUUUCCUGACGCUGAGGAGCGAAAGCGUGGGGAGCGAACAGGCUUAGAUACCCUGGUAGUCCACGCUGUAAACGGUGGGUACUAGGUGUGGGGUCCAUUCCACGGGUUCCGUGCCGUAGCUAACGCUUUAAGUACCCCGCCUGGGGAGUACGGCCGCAAGGCUAAAACUCAAAGGAAUUGACGGGGCCCCGCACAAGCGGCGGAGCAUGCGGAUUAAUUCGAUGCAACGCGUAGAACCUUACCUGGGUUUGACAUGGAUCGGGAGUGCUCAGAGAUGGGUGUGCCUCUUUUGGGGUCGGUUCACAGGUGGUGCAUGGCUGUCGUCAGCUCGUGUCGUGAGAUGUUGGGUUAAGUCCCGCAACGAGCGCAACCCUUGUUCACUGUUGCCAGCACGUUAUGGUGGGGACUCAGUGGAGACCGCCGGGGUCAACUCGGAGGAAGGUGGGGAUGACGUCAAGUCAUCAUGCCCCUUAUGUCCAGGGCUUCACGCAUGCUACAAUGGCUGGUACAGAGAGUGGCGAGCCUGUGAGGGUGAGCGAAUCUCGGAAAGCCGGUCUCAGUUCGGAUUGGGGUCUGCAACUCGACCUCAUGAAGUCGGAGUCGCUAGUAAUCGCAGAUCAGCAACGCUGCGGUGAAUACGUUCCCGGGGCU